This 497-nucleotide ribosomal RNA is filed under the name uncultured bacterium. RNAcentral describes it as "partial 16S ribosomal RNA". It matches the Rfam family "Bacterial small subunit ribosomal RNA", at positions 28 to 507 of the family's 1533-position model. The record is from RNAcentral.
GAUGAACGCUGGCGGCGUGCCUAAUACAUGCAAGUCGAGCGAACAGAUGAGGAGCUUGCUCCUCUGACGUUAGCGGCGGACGGGUGAGUAACACGUGGAUAACCUACCUAUAAGACUGGGAUAACUUCGGGAAGCCGGAGCUAAUACCGGAUAAUAUAUUGAACCGCAUUGUUCAAUAGUGAAAGACGGUUUUGCUGUCACUUAUAGAUUGAUCCGCGCCGCAUUAGCUAGUUGGUAAGGUAACGGCUUACCAAGGCAACGAUGCGUAUCCGACCUGAGAGGGUGAUCGGCCACACUGGCACAGAGACACAGUACAGACUCCUACGGGGGGCAGCAGUAGGGAAUCUUCCGCAAUGGGCGAAAGCCUAACGGAGCAACGCCGCGUGAGUGAUGAAGGUCUUCGGAUCGUAAAACUCUGUUAUUAGGGAAGAACAAAUGUGUAAGUAACUAUGCACGUCUUGACGGUACCUAAUCAGAAAGCCCCGGCUAACUACGUG